UUUUACAAGUCUAUGGCCGUGUAAACAAACACAAUCCCAUCUGAUUUUGGAAGCUAAGCAGGGUCAGGCCUGGUUAGUACUUGGAUGGGAGACCACGUAAGAACACCAGGUGCUGUAGGUG
RNAcentral lists this ribosomal RNA (121 nucleotides) under Pteropus alecto (black flying fox). Lineage: Eukaryota; Metazoa; Chordata; Mammalia; Chiroptera; Pteropodidae. The record is from RNAcentral.